AUUGAACGCUGGCGGCAGGCCUAACACAUGCAAGUCGAACGGAGUGGCGGACGGGUGAGUAAUGUCUGGGAAACUGCCCGGUGGAGGGGGAUAACUACUGGAAACGGUAGCUAAUACCGCAUACUAUCAGAUGAGCCUAGGUCGGAUUAGCUAGUUGGUGGGGUAAAGGCCUACCAAGGCAACGAUCCGUAACGGGUUUGAGAGGAUGAUCAGCCACACUGGAACUGAGACACGGCCCAGACUCCUACGGGAGGCAGCAGUGGGGAAUAUUGGACAAUGGGCGAAAGCCUGAUCCAGCCAUGCCGCGUGUGUGAAGAAGGCCUUCGGAUUGUAAAGCACUUUAAGUUGGGAGGCGGUACCAGCAGAAUAAGCACCGGCUAACUUCGUGCCAGCAGCCGCGGUAAUUC
This 407-nucleotide ribosomal RNA is filed under the name uncultured bacterium. RNAcentral's name for it is "partial 16S ribosomal RNA". It matches the Rfam family "Bacterial small subunit ribosomal RNA", at positions 30 to 526 of the family's 1533-position model. The record is from RNAcentral.